CCUACGGGAGGCAGCAGUGAGGAAUAUUGGUCAAUGGGCGCAAGCCUGAACCAGCCAUGUCGCGUGCAGGAUGAAGGCUCUAUGGUUUGUAAACUUCUUUUGUACGGGAAUAAACGGAGAUACGCGUUCCUUUUUGUAUGUACCAUACGAAUAAGGAUCGGCUAACUCCGUUCCAGCAGCCGCGGUAAUACGGAGGAUUCAAGCGUUAUCCGGAUUUAUUGGGUUUAAAGGGUGCGUAGGUGGUUGAUUAAGUCAGAGGUGAAAUUUUGUGGCUCAACUAUAGAAUUGCCGCUGAUACUGGUUGGCUAGAGAAUAGUUGAGGUAGGCGGAAUGUGUGGUGUAGCGGUGAAAUGCAUAGAUAUCACACAGAACUCCGAUUGCGAAGGCAGCUUACCAAGCUAUAUCUGACGCUGAGGCACGAAAGCGUGGGGAGCAAACAGGAUUAGAUACCCGAGUAGUC
Molecule: ribosomal RNA, 460 nt
Filed under: uncultured bacterium
Lineage: Bacteria
Description: partial 16S ribosomal RNA
Rfam family: Bacterial small subunit ribosomal RNA
Source: RNAcentral